GCCUGGGUGGCUCAGUUGGCUGAGCAUCUGACUUCAGCUCAGGUCAUGAUCUUGAGGUUCGUGAGUUCCAGCCCCACAUCAGGCU
Molecule: transfer RNA, 85 nt
Organism: Felis catus (domestic cat)
Lineage: Eukaryota; Metazoa; Chordata; Mammalia; Carnivora; Felidae
Rfam family: tRNA
About the family: Transfer RNA (tRNA) molecules are approximately 80 nucleotides in length. Their secondary structure includes four short double-helical elements and three loops (D, anti-codon, and T loops). Further hydrogen bonds mediate the characteristic L-shaped molecular structure. tRNAs have two regions of fundamental functional importance: the anti-codon, which is responsible for specific mRNA codon recognition, and the 3' end, to which the tRNAs corresponding amino acid is attached (by aminoacyl-tRNA synthetases). tRNAs cope with the degeneracy of the genetic code in two manners: having more than one tRNA (with a specific anti-codon) for a particular amino acid; and 'wobble' base-pairing, i.e. permitting non-standard base-pairing at the 3rd anti-codon position.
Source: Rfam